This 76-nucleotide transfer RNA is filed under the name Merluccius polli (Benguela hake). RNAcentral's name for it is "tRNA-OTHER". It matches the Rfam family "tRNA". Rfam says of the family: Transfer RNA (tRNA) molecules are approximately 80 nucleotides in length. Their secondary structure includes four short double-helical elements and three loops (D, anti-codon, and T loops). Further hydrogen bonds mediate the characteristic L-shaped molecular structure. tRNAs have two regions of fundamental functional importance: the anti-codon, which is responsible for specific mRNA codon recognition, and the 3' end, to which the tRNAs corresponding amino acid is attached (by aminoacyl-tRNA synthetases). tRNAs cope with the degeneracy of the genetic code in two manners: having more than one tRNA (with a specific anti-codon) for a particular amino acid; and 'wobble' base-pairing, i.e. permitting non-standard base-pairing at the 3rd anti-codon position. Lineage: Eukaryota; Metazoa; Chordata; Actinopteri; Gadiformes; Merlucciidae. The record is from RNAcentral.
UCCUCGGUAGUAUAGUGGUCGAGUAUCCCCGCCUGUCCACGCGGGAGACCGGCGGUUCAAUUCCCCGACGGGGAGA